Molecule: long non-coding RNA, 235 nt
Filed under: Lathyrus oleraceus (garden pea)
Lineage: Eukaryota; Viridiplantae; Streptophyta; Magnoliopsida; Fabales; Fabaceae
Description: Pisum sativum (pea) long non-coding RNA (PSAT_LNC036335)
Source: RNAcentral
GCAAUUUUGCCAAAUUACAUAACAAGCUCAUUUUUACUAAUCCAUUUGGUUUGUGUAAUCAUGUUUAGUAGCUGGAUUAACAAAGGGUAUAAGAGCUUAAUCAUAACUGAAUUCCACAUCCACAAUCACAAUCUCAAAAUCAAAACCAAAAUUCUCUCAAUUCUCUCAAAUUCUCUUCACACUUUUUUCACUUUUUUGAUCGAAAUUCUUCAUUCUUUCUGUUUUCUUUGGUGCU